AUGUUACCAGAUGGUAGCAGUUCAGAGGCAACACUGCCGGAGAGCAGUCUGAGCACAGAUAUUAUAGUUCUUGAGGCUCUACUAGAGGCAGAAAGAGAUGGCCUGGCUGCCAUGAAUGAGGUAAUCUCAAUCUUGAAGCUGGAAAUUAUGCAAUUAGCUGCACGCAUUAUGCAAGCAACCAAAGAAUUGGAGGAAGUAAGAAUGUUGCAUUUGAAGACGGAGGAGGUCCUGCUGCUUCUGCUAUCUGAAGCCCGGGGUAAUCCCAGUUCUUCUUUAGAUAGCAGUUGA
RNAcentral lists this ribosomal RNA (288 nucleotides) under Triticum aestivum (bread wheat). Its description in RNAcentral is "partial small subunit ribosomal RNA". The record is from RNAcentral. Lineage: Eukaryota; Viridiplantae; Streptophyta; Magnoliopsida; Poales; Poaceae.